This 442-nucleotide ribosomal RNA is filed under the name uncultured bacterium. RNAcentral describes it as "bacterial SSU rRNA". It matches the Rfam family "Bacterial small subunit ribosomal RNA", at positions 92 to 518 of the family's 1533-position model. The record is from RNAcentral.
AGAGCGGCGGACGGGUGAGUAACACGUGGACAAUCUCGCCCCCCGGCCCGGGAUAGCCCAGGGAAACCUGGAUUAAUACCGGAUGAGACGGGACCUGCGAUGGCGGGAGUCCGGGAAAGGCGCUACGGCGCCGGCCGGGGGAUGAGUCUGCGUCCCAUUAGCUAGACGGCGGGGUAACGGCCCACCGUGGCGACGAUGGGUAGCCGGCCUGAGAGGGUGGACGGCCACAUUGGAACUGAGACACGGUCCAGACUCCUACGGGAGGCAGCAGCUAAGAAUCUUCCGCAAUGGGCGAAAGCCUGACGGAGCGACGCCCGCGUGAACGAAGAAGGCCGUGAGGUUGUAAAGUUCUUUCGGGAGGGGGAACAACCGUGGCAGGGAAUGGCCGCGGGAUGACGUGAAUCCCGGAAUAAGCCCCGGCUAACUGCGUGCCAGCCGCGGC